AGACUGGUGAGUAACACGUGAGUAAUUUACCUCUAAGUCGGGCAUAGCUCUGUGAAAGCGGAGGUAAUACCCGAUGUGUCUGGGAUGGCGCAAGCCAACCCAGGUAAAGGUGGCCGUAAGGCUGCUGUUUAGAGAUGAGCUCGCGUCCUAUCAGCUAGUUGGUAGGGUAACGGCCUACCAAGGCAAUUGACGGGUAGCUGGCCUGAGAGGGUGGUCAGCCACAUGGGGACUGAGACACUGCCCCAACUCC
Molecule: ribosomal RNA, 250 nt
Filed under: uncultured bacterium
Lineage: Bacteria
Description: partial 16S ribosomal RNA
Rfam family: Bacterial small subunit ribosomal RNA
Source: RNAcentral